AGCGAACGCUGGCGGCAGGCCUAACACAUGCAAGUCGAACGAACUCUUCGGAGUUAGUGGCGGACGGGUGAGUAACACGUGGGAACGUGCCUUUUGGUUCGGAAUAACUCAGGGAAACUUGUGCUAAUACCGAAUGUGCCCUUCGGGGGAAAGAUUUAUCGCCAUUAGAGCGGCCCGCGUCUGAUUAGCUAGUUGGUGAGGUAACGGCUCACCAAGGCGACGAUCAGUAGCUGGUCUGAGAGGAUGACCAGCCACACUGGGACUGAGACACGGCCCAGACUCCUACGGGAGGCAGCAGUGGGGAAUCUUGCGCAAUGGGCGAAAGCCUGACCCAGCCAUGCCGCGUGAAUGAUGAAGGUCUUAGGAUUGUAAAAUUCUUUCACCGGGGACGAUAAUGACGGUACCCGGAGAAGAAGCCCCGGCUAACUUCGUG
This 433-nucleotide ribosomal RNA is filed under the name uncultured bacterium. Its description in RNAcentral is "partial 16S ribosomal RNA". It matches the Rfam family "Bacterial small subunit ribosomal RNA", at positions 29 to 507 of the family's 1533-position model. The record is from RNAcentral.